CAAGAAAGAAGCAAGCUUUGAUAUCUUUAUCUGACAAGUAGGAUUAAGCUACUCUUGGCAACGGUCUUCAAGAGUUAGGAUACACUAUCGUUUGUACUCGAGGAACUGCCUCUACCUUGGAGAAUGCUGGAGUCUCUGUCACCAAAGUGGAGACUUUCUCUUCCCUCAUUCUUUAGCUGGUGAAGCUUAAUGACCGUGCGAAGACUUUGCACCCAAACAUACACGGUGGUAUCCUCGCUAGAAGAGAUGUGGAGCAUCAUAUGGAAGCUUUUAAUGAGCAUGGCGUUGGUACAUUUGAUGUGGUGGUUAUCAAUUUGUAUCCGUUCUACGACAAAGUUACUGCUCCAGGUGGGAUCAGUUUUGAGGAUGGGAUUGAGAACAUCGACAUUGGUGGUGCUGCUAUGAUUAAAGCAGUUGCUAAGAACCACAAAGAUGUCCUCAUCGUUGUCGAUUCAGAGGAUUAUCAAGCUGUUUUGGAGUAUCUCAAAGGAGCUCAGAACGACCAAAAAUUCCGCAGGAAAUCUGCGUGGAAGGCCUUUCAGCACAUUGCUGCUUAUGAUUCCGCUGUCUCAGAAUGGCUAUGGAAGCAGACUGAGGGACGUAGGUGCUUAUUUUUUAUGUGAUCCUCCUUACACUAGAUCGAGAUGCAGUGGCUUCCAGGUGAUUCAUUUAUUUUCUGUUUCUCACAUACACACCACUGUAACCUUUGAGGUUUUAAUAUGUUAAUUCUUAUUUAGUUGAAUCUCAUAUCAGUUUGAGGUUUUAAUAUGUUAAUUCUUAUCAGUUGUGUUGGAUACCAGCCGUCAGUGUCCUUAGAUACGGUGUGGAGCUUGCUGUUGCAGAUAAGAGUGAUGAAGCUGUUUACGUCGGUUCUGGUGGGGAGAUAACAAAACUAACUAAUAUUAGAGCCGCUAAAGCUGGGCACCUUCACGCCGCAAGUGUUGAGAAUCGUAAAGACAGCCAGCUCCCUCUGUCCAUAACUUGAUGGGAGAAACAUACAGUUUUCAGCUAGGCUGACACAUUUCAGUUUGACUUCUAAUCAUCAGACCUUCACGAUUUCAUCCAUUUUUAAUAAGCGUAACUGUCCACCAGUCCCAGAUUUCGUUGUUGAUGGAGUGAGCUCACUUACCAUCAAUGUCUGUGCCGGUCCUCCUGAUAAUGAGAAUGAACCAGCUGGUGAAACAACUGCAGGUGGUGCAUCGGUCACGAACUUGCUGAUCCCGACGAGUUUAAAGCAACUAAGAAGGCACGCCUUACAUAGAUUGAAGAGGAUAGUCGUCAGCCACGGCGUCGGCUCCUAGAAUAAUACUUGUGCAUAGUUGUUGGCAUGUUGCUUUUAUUACAUCAUCUGGCGUAAACAGUUUACAACUGACUAUAAACCCAAUCAUGUUUGGAAAUUCAUUAUCUUUGUCUACAAGUCGGUGAACUAUUCUAUUUGCGUA
Molecule: long non-coding RNA, 1442 nt
Organism: Brassica napus (rape)
Lineage: Eukaryota; Viridiplantae; Streptophyta; Magnoliopsida; Brassicales; Brassicaceae
Exons: 8
Source: RefSeq, a predicted model, not a curated record